Molecule: ribosomal RNA, 810 nt
Filed under: uncultured Verrucomicrobiota bacterium
Lineage: Bacteria; Pseudomonadati; Verrucomicrobiota
Description: bacterial SSU rRNA
Rfam family: Bacterial small subunit ribosomal RNA
Source: RNAcentral
CAAGUCGGACGGGAAUUUUUUUGGUAGCAAUACCGAAAAAAUUUCAGUGGCGAACGGGUGCGUAACACGUGGGCAAUCUGCCGAGAAGUGGGGGAUAGCUCGCCGAAAGGCGAAUUAAUACCGCAUGUGAUGAGGGGAGACAUCUUCCCGAAAUCAAAGGUGGCGCAAGCUACCGCUUUUUGAGGAGCCCGCGGCCUAUCAGCUUGUUGGUGAGGUAACGGCUCACCAAGGCGUUGACGGGUAGCUGGUCUGAGAGGACGACCAGUCACACUGGGACUGAGACACGGCCCAGACACCUACGGGUGGCAGCAGUCGAGAAUUUUUCUCAAUGGGGGAAACCCUGAAGGAGCGACGCCGCGUGGAGGAUGAAGGUCUUCGGGUUGUAAACUCCUGUCACUUGGGAACAAGGCGCAGGUGUUAACUGUACCUGCGUUGAUAGUACCAGAAGAGGAAGAGACGGCUAACUCUGUGCCAGCAGCCGCGGUAAUACAGAGGUCUCAAGCGUUGUUCGGAUUCAUUGGGCGUAAAGGGUGCGUAGGUGGCGCGGUAAGUCGGGUGUGAAAUUUCGGAGCUUAACUCCGAAACUGCAUUCGAUACUGCCGUGCUUGAGGACUGGAGAGGAGACUGGAAUUUACGGUGUAGCAGUGAAAUGCGUAGAGAUCGUAAGGAAGACCAGUGGCGAAGGCGGGUCUCUGGACAGUUCCUGACACUGAGGCACGAAGGCCAGGGGAGCAAACGGGAUUAGAUACCCCGGUAGUCCUGGCAGUAAACGGUGCACGUUUGGUGUGGGGAGGAUUCGACCCCUUCUGC